Molecule: ribosomal RNA, 472 nt
Filed under: uncultured bacterium
Lineage: Bacteria
Description: bacterial SSU rRNA
Rfam family: Bacterial small subunit ribosomal RNA
Source: RNAcentral
AGGACGAACGCUGGCGGUGUGCCUCAUACAUGCAAGUCGAACGAUAAGGUCUCUUCGGAGAUACAUAAGUGGCGGACGGGUGAGUACAACAUAGGAAAUCUGCCCUAAAGCGGGGGACAACAGAGGGAAACUUCUGCUAAUACCCCAUAUGAGCUUAGUUGAAAUACUAAUCUUGAAAGAUUUAUCACUUUAGGAUGAGCCUGUGCCUGAUUAGCUGGUUGGUGGUGUAAUGGACUACCAAGGCGACGAUCAGUAGCUGGUUUGAGAGGAUGAUCAGCCACAAUGGGACUGAGACACGGCCCAUACUCCUACGGGAGGCAGCAGUAGGGAAUUUUGCGCAAUGGGCGAAAGCCCUGACGCAGCAACACCGCGUGAAUGUUAAGCCCUUCGGGGUGUAAAGUUCUGUCAGUAGGGAAGAACAAAUGACUGUACCUGCAAAGGAAGCACCGGCUAACUCCGUGCCAGCCGCCGC